UUCAAAUCCCCCAACAGUUCUUUAAUUUAGAAUGCAUUACAGUUGGUAUUUAUAUGAGUUAACUGACAGCUGUAAGAAAUCAGCAUUGGGCUGUUGUGUAAGUUGAUUGAUAUUUGCAGACAAAAAGGCCUGAAGGACAAAGCCUAGGAAGAGAGAAAAGUGCCUUGUGAUCAUUUCUGCUUCUUCUUUCUUGAAACAUGGGCCCUGUGGGAAGUAGAAUCCUCUUUAUCUUCACAAGUUCUACAGACAUUUUUAACCAAAGGGAACUGUCAUUCCCAUGGAUACUACUAAAUUAAAAUCUUUUGAGUGCAUAUCUUUGUUGUUUGGAAGGCACUGUAGUUUUCUGCAUUUAAUACAACCAUCACAUCUGGAAAGAGGAAUAUGUGGACAAUCUUAUCUUCAACAAGAUAUCAUUUUGGAAGACAUAAAAAUCUCAACCAUUUCCUGGAGUUUCUUAGAAGAUGAAGGCGCUGUAUUGUGCUGUAUGUCAAGGCUUUCCUACUUAUUUCUAGUUUUUGGAAGAAAAGCAAUGACUUGGGAGGCUACAGAGGAAAAAUAAGCCUAGAGAACAUUUCCAGAAUAAUGGAUGCUAUGGUCAAUGAGAAGAUACAGGAAAAGGUCCAGUAGAUGUCUUUUACUCAUCUGCUGUUGAAGAGAAGGACUUCAUAUAUGUUCAAGUCUGAUGGACUAGACCUCUCACUCUACUUCUCUGAGAAUUGUAAUGGUUCUCUCAGUGAUUUGUCUGUGCUUUUCUUACAGUCUGAUAGGAGGGGGAGAAACUGCUACUGUAAUUGGUUUUUGGAGGGCUCUUGGGAAAUGGAGAAAGGAGUGAUUCUAUGGGAAGUGAGUAGAUCAGAACAUGAGGAGAGUAUUUGAUUACAGAAUUUCUGUUGAGAAUUUUAUUUUAUGUGUGAGAUGAUAAAAGGAAGGAAAUAACAGCUGAGUCCCCAAGUUGUUUGACAAUAAAGUUAAAAACACAGCUAGAUCA
RNAcentral lists this long non-coding RNA (988 nucleotides) under Monodelphis domestica (gray short-tailed opossum). RNAcentral describes it as "lncRNA (ENSMODG00000034958.2)". The record is from RNAcentral. Lineage: Eukaryota; Metazoa; Chordata; Mammalia; Didelphimorphia; Didelphidae.